Molecule: ribosomal RNA, 253 nt
Filed under: uncultured bacterium
Lineage: Bacteria
Description: partial 16S ribosomal RNA
Rfam family: Bacterial small subunit ribosomal RNA
Source: RNAcentral
GACAGAGGAUGCAAACGUUGCUCGGAAUUACUGGGCGUAAAGCGCGCGUAGGCGGACCGGCAAGUCGGGGGUGAAAGCCCGAGGCUCAACCUCGGAACUGCCUUCGAUACUGCGGGUCUCGAGUCCGGGAGAGGUGAGUGGAAUUCCUAGUGUAGAGGUGAAAUUCGUAGAUAUUAGGAAGAACACCAGUGGCGAAGGCGGCUCACUGGCUCGGUACUGACGCUGAGGCGCGAAAGCGUGGGGAGCAAACAGG